UACGUAGGGGGCAAGCGUUGUCCGGAUUUAUUGGGCGUAAAGCGCUCGCAGGUGGUUCGUCGCGUCGUGCGUGAAAGACCCCGGCUCAACUGGGGAGGGUCGUGCGAAACGGGCGGACUAGAGGCCAGUAGGGGGAUGCGGAAUUCCGGGUGUAGUGGUGGAAUGCGUAGAUAUCCGGAGGAACACCAGCGGCGAAGGCGGCAUCCUGGACUGGUCCUGACACUCAGGAGCGAAAGCGUGGGGAGCGAUCCGG
Molecule: ribosomal RNA, 253 nt
Filed under: uncultured bacterium
Lineage: Bacteria
Description: partial 16S ribosomal RNA
Rfam family: Bacterial small subunit ribosomal RNA
Source: RNAcentral